RNAcentral lists this ribosomal RNA (108 nucleotides) under Methanobrevibacter sp. RNAcentral describes it as "partial 23S ribosomal RNA". It matches the Rfam family "Archaeal large subunit ribosomal RNA", at positions 2882 to 2987 of the family's 2987-position model. The record is from RNAcentral. Lineage: Archaea; Methanobacteriati; Methanobacteriota; Methanobacteria; Methanobacteriales; Methanobacteriaceae.
UUAGGACGCGAGUAGAAGACUUGUUUGAUGGGGUAGGGAUGUAAGCUUCGAGGUUUUUUUUCCGAGUUGUUGAGUCCGCUGCUUCCAACUGUUCGCUUGCAUUAUUUU